GUGCAACCCGCCCACCAUGAAGUCGGAAUUGCUAGUAAUUGCAGGUCAGCAUACUGCCGUGAAUACGUUCCCGGGCCUUGUACACACCGCCCGUCACACCAUGAGAGUUGGAGAUACCCGAAGCCUGUGAGCUAACAGAAAUGGAGCAGCAGUCGAAGGUAGAAUCAAUGAUUGGGGUGAAGUCGUAACAAGGUACC
This 197-nucleotide ribosomal RNA is filed under the name uncultured bacterium. RNAcentral's name for it is "partial 16S ribosomal RNA". It matches the Rfam family "Bacterial small subunit ribosomal RNA", at positions 1305 to 1500 of the family's 1533-position model. The record is from RNAcentral.